UUCUUAAAAAUCCUGAGACGUGCACAAACUUUGAAAUAUAAAUUGCCAAACUUUGGUAUGCAAAUGAGGCGAAAUCAGAACUACGCAAUUCUCGAGCGCAGAAACAAUAUCGCUUCGGCUUAUCUGGGCCGAAAAGUGGUCUACCUGGCCAACAGAUCAGCGUUUAUUCCAAUCAGCUCGAUCUCUACAAAACACGUAGCCCGCAAACACCCUUUCCCUCUUUUUUGGGCUCGAGAAGUGUGUGGUUUUAGCUUAGCAAAAUUUUGCGAUUUGUAUCUUGAAGCACGUGCUCACAUCAGGAUACUGUAUUUAAAAUAGAUUGAUAUUUUAAAAAAAGGAAAAAAUGGCUGGCUCUGAUUCUACUACUUAUCUCACAAUUCCCCCAAAACACUUAAUGAAUUUUUAAGUAGCUCCAUGCUCUUUCCCACAGGAUGUCUGCACAACCCACCUAUGAAAACCACAUCUAGGUAGCUCACACAGCCCUAUUCUGAAAAUUCUGAAAAGGAUUAAAAAAAAUGCCCUGUACACAGGGAUAAUUUCUACUAUGGCAUCAUGGAUGAGGAAAGCAGUGACAUUUUUGCAGCAUGUAUUGUACAAGAGUUUUAUUGGCAAAGAAGCAACAUGACAUGUCCUUCGCAAUAUCACACUUUUAGGCUCUGCAGUUCCUGAAGUAAUUCCUGUUCCUUCUUGAGCUUCUCCAACUGAAAUGUUGCCACACGAUUAUCAUCAUCCCUUUGAAAAUUGUCCUAAUUACCUGAUUGGCUUCUAGGGUGACCCCUUUCUGUAGCUGUUCCUUAAGGAUUGUGAUCUGCUGCAACUUCUGAAAAAUAAGGUCCUCUGGUGAUUUUUUUUCAAAGGCAUUUUCAGGGCUACCUUCUUGAUAUUCUUCAUCUUUCUUUCUCUGUUGACUUCUGGAGGUUUCUCUUGUUUCUCUUCUUUCCUGGCCCCUGGAGGCCUGUACACCUGCUUUGAUGCUGCAAGACAAUCAUAGUUGUAUGUCCUUCAAGUUCAGAUGCGCAAGAACGCGACUCGCUGCUCCAUCUCACAGAUGUGAUGGUAACUGUGCAUUGAUGGGCCACGACCAACGACGAAAGAAGGUGUGCUUUUGCAAACGUUAUUACCAUAAUACACAGUUUGAGGGCACCUUUAAGUUGCAAGCUGUCAUCUGCAAUGGCCAUAUUCUGCACUUUCAAAGUUCAAACUCCAACUGUCCAACCUUGAUGAAGUACAUCGUGGGACCCCACAGGAGUACGAGAUUGUGACAUCAAGUACGUUGUGGGAGAGACUGCCAUUUGCAGUUUAUGCAAAGAAUAACUAUAUAUGCUGUCACCAAUGUUGUCACCAGUGGAUCCUUCUGUUCAGCUUGCAGUAAAAAACUUUAAUGACUGGAGGACACUUCCUGGAGGUAUCCAGUCAAGUAUUUGUUGCUCUAUAGCAUUUUCAGGAGUAUCUAUGUUUCGUUAGAACACCAGUCAAACAGACCCUGAGGCUGGGACGACUGUAUUCCAGCUACUGGAACGUAAGUGAUGGGUUUGGCCUCGAAACUGCCUCCUGGCUGCCACUGGGCAUCCCACAGCUCCUCGUUUGCUGGCCACAUGUAUUCGUGUUGAAGACUGCCCGUGUAGUGCCACACCUUCAUCCUGCCAAAGAAGACACUUAUAUGAUGUGCUGGUACUCUACUGAGAACCUAGUUCAAUCACUGCUAAUACUGUCAAUGCUUCUUUCGAAAUGGACGAGACAAAAAUACACAGGACAGAACCAAUGCCACCUCGGUUAAAUAGGGCCAGAUCUCUUAUUGAUGUGACAUAGGAGCCAUGUCCCAAACAGGACUCUUUCAAUCAUAGCCAUAGUGACAAGCCACUAUCAGCCACAUAAGCAGCCACUGUAUAGCCACAAGCUUUGUGCGUUUAAAAUUUGGGAUGAUGAUUGGCUGAAGCGGAUAGCAUCGGGACUUUAUAUGUCCAUGUAGUGAAGGGUGGAUGGCAAGCAUUGAACAGGCCUCCUUUAUACUAGGAGCUAGUGACAGAGGUGUCCAACAUACUGUUGACAUCACUUUCUGACUUCAAGGUGAGUUAUUUCAGCACACCAUAUGUCACUCACUGACCCGUUAGCCACCCUGAGCCUCGGUGCUGUGGUAGCCGUCAGAUAAUGCUCUCCAUCGGGGCUCCACUCCAAAAGGGUGGAAUCAGACGCUUGACUCUUGGACACGAGUUUCUGCGCCUUAACGUCCCACACUUCCACGUUUCCUCGCAGGUUGCCGAAACCAGCAAGGAUCAGCAGUGCACACAAGGUCAAGGAUCCGCAACGGUGUUCUGGCCCUGCAUCCUUCAGGUCAGCAGUCUUUGGCACAGUUCGAAAUGGGCUAUUGAGUUACAGCUGAGGUCUGGCUUUCCUGGGUAAAAGAUCACUCCAACAGCGCAACCAAAAACAGGAGGUUUGUGGACGGCACUUCUCUUCUCCAAGGAUACAUCCGUAGACGACGCAGAAGUGGUCACACUGGGGACUCCAAGCCACACUAUAGAUGGGUCCCUCCUUGUCUGGAAAAGAAAGCCCCUCUUGACACGCAAGAAUAAUUGGGAACGGAAGGUGGGGUCUCACUUCUUUUGACGAUGGCUGUGUCUCCAGUUGUCCUGAGAAAGUGAAGCCCUUGAUCUCCAUAAUAGGAGGCACCUGUCUUGUCUACAUCUGUACUUGUCAGCAGCAGUAAACCCUUGCCUGAAUCCGAGCAUAAUA
This is a long non-coding RNA of Ornithodoros turicata, 2733 nucleotides long. RefSeq lists it as uncharacterized. NCBI's taxonomy places the organism in Eukaryota, Metazoa, Arthropoda, Arachnida, Ixodida, Argasidae. The record is from RefSeq and is a predicted model, not a curated record. The transcript is spliced from 3 exons.